Molecule: ribosomal RNA, 433 nt
Filed under: uncultured bacterium
Lineage: Bacteria
Description: bacterial SSU rRNA
Rfam family: Bacterial small subunit ribosomal RNA
Source: RNAcentral
GCGAACGCUGGCGGCAGGCUUAACACAUGCAAGUCGAACGGGCACCUUCGGGUGUCAGUGGCAGACGGGUGAGUAACACGUGGGAACGUACCCUUCGGUUCGGAAUAACUCAGGGAAACUUGAGCUAAUACCGGAUACGCCCUUUUGGGGAAAGGUUUACUGCCGAAGGAUCGGCCCGCGUCUGAUUAGCUUGUUGGUGGGGUAACGGCCUACCAAGGCGACGAUCAGUAGCUGGUCUGAGAGGAUGAUCAGCCACACUGGGACUGAGACACGGCCCAGACUCCUACGGGAGGCAGCAGUGGGGAAUAUUGGACAAUGGGCGCAAGCCUGAUCCAGCCAUGCCGCGUGAGUGAUGAAGGCCUUAGGGUUGUAAAGCUCUUUUGUCCGGGACGAUAAUGACGGUACCGGAAGAAUAAGCCCCGGCUAACUUCGU